AGAGAGAGACAUGCGCGCAUAUCAAUAAGCGGAGGAAAAGAAACUAACAAGGAUUCCCCUAGUAACGGCGAGUGAAGCGGGAAGAGCUCAAAUUUGAAAUCUUAAAGGGUUUCCCUUUACGAAUUGUAGUUUAAAGAAGUGUUUUCUGUUGAGGUUUUGGUAAAAGUUCUUUGGAAUAGGACAUCAUAGAGGGUGAGAAUCCCGUAUUUGACCUUUACUUUCAACUUUGUGAUACACUUUCAAAGAGUCGGAUUGUUUGGGAAUGCAGUCCAAAAUGGGUGGUAAAUUUCAUCUAAAGCUAAAUAUUGGCGAGAGACCGAUAGCGAACAAGUACCGUGAGGGGAAGAUGAAAAGAACUUUGAAAAGAGAGUUAAACAGUACGUGAAAUUGUCAAAAGGGAAGCGUUUGACACCAGUGUUGUUUUUCUGAAAAUCAAUUAAAGAACUGUUUAUGCUAAGUUGUUUAGGACUUUAUCAGCUAACUGUUUAGUUUUGAGCUUUUCUUUAAUGCACUUUUCAGUUAACAAGUCAACAUCAAUUUCUUUUGCUGUAAAAAGCUUGAGGAAGGUGGCUUGAGAUUCGUCUUAAGUGUUUAUAGCCUCUUGCCUAUGCAGUCGGAGAGAUUGAGGUCUGCAGCGUAGAUCCUUCGGGGCUAAACGCAUUUGUGCUAAGUUAUAGCAUUUUAUAGACAACUUGUUGACUAUGAUUUGUCUUGUAGCUUACUCGCUUAUGUUAUUUUACCUACGCUUAGGAUGUUGAGCGCAUGUCUCUCUCU
RNAcentral lists this ribosomal RNA (774 nucleotides) under uncultured Neocallimastigales. RNAcentral's name for it is "partial large subunit ribosomal RNA". It matches the Rfam family "Eukaryotic large subunit ribosomal RNA", at positions 23 to 616 of the family's 3401-position model. Lineage: Eukaryota; Fungi; Neocallimastigomycota; Neocallimastigomycetes; Neocallimastigales. The record is from RNAcentral.